GAUUGAACGCUGGCGGCAGGCCUAACACAUGCAAGUCGAACGGUAACAGGAAGAAGCUUGCUUCUUUGCUGACGAGUGGCGGACGGGUGAGUAAUGUCUGGGAAACUGCCUGAUGGAGGGGGAUAACUACUGGAAACGGUAGCUAAUACCGCAUAACGUCGCAAGACCAAAGAGGGGGACCUUAGGGCCUCUUGCCAUCGGAUGUGCCCAGAUGGGAUUAGCUAGUAGGUGGGGUAAAGGCUCACCUAGGCGACGAUCCCUAGCUGGUCUGAGAGGAUGACCAGCCACACUGGAACUGAGACACGGUCCAGACUCCUACGGGAGGCAGCAGUGGGGAAUAUUGCACAAUGGGCGCAAGCCUGAUGCAGCCAUGCCGCGUGUAUGAAGAAGGCCUUCGGGUUGUAAAGUACUUUCAGCGGGGAGGAAGGUGUUGUGGUUAAUAACCACAGCAAUUGACGUUACCCGCAGAAGAAGCACCGGCUAACUCCGUGCCAGCAGCCGCGGUAAUACGGAGGGUGCAAGCGUUAAUCGGAAUUACUGGGCGUAAAGCGCACGCAGGCGGUCUGUCAAGUCGGAUGUGAAAUCCCCGGGCUCAACCUGGGAACUGCAUUCGAAACUGGCAGGCUUGAGUCUCGUAGAGGGGGGUAGAAUUCCAGUGUAGCGGUGAAAUGCGUAGAGAUCUGGAGGAAUACUCGGUGGCGAAGGCGGCCCCUGGACGAAGACUGACGCUCAGGUGCGAAAGCGUGGGGGAGCAAACAGGAUUAGAUACCCUGGUAGUCCACGCCGUAAACGAUGUCUAUUUGGAGGUUGUGCCCUUGAGGUGUGGCUUCCGGAGCUAACGCGUUAAAUAGACCGCCUGGGGAGUACGGCCGCAAGGUUAAAACUCAAAUGAAUUGACGGGGGCCCGCACAAGCGGUGGAGCAUGUGGUUUAAUUCGAUGCAACGCGAAGAACCUUACCUGGUCUGGACAUCCACAGAACUUUCCAGAGAUGGAGGGGUGCCUUCGGGAACUGUGAGACAGGUGCUGCAUGGCUGUCGUCAGCUCGUGUUGUGAAAUGUUGGGUUAAGUCCCGCAACGAGCGCAACCCUUAUCCUUUGUUGCCAGCGGUUAGGCCGGGAACUCAAAGGAGACUGCCAGUGAUAAACUGGAGGAAGGUGGGGAUGACGUCAAGUCAUCAUGGCCCUUACGACCAGGGCUACACACGUGCUACAAUGGCGCAUACAAAGAGAAGCGAACUCGCGAGAGCAAGCGGACCUCAUAAAGUGCGUCGUAGUCCGGACUGGAGUCUGCAACUCGACUCCAUGAAGUCGGAAUCGCUAGUAAUCGUGGAUCAGAAUGCCACGGUGAAUACGUUCCCGGGCCUUGUACACACCGCC
RNAcentral lists this ribosomal RNA (1377 nucleotides) under uncultured Gammaproteobacteria bacterium. RNAcentral describes it as "bacterial SSU rRNA". It matches the Rfam family "Bacterial small subunit ribosomal RNA", at positions 27 to 1394 of the family's 1533-position model. The record is from RNAcentral. Lineage: Bacteria; Pseudomonadati; Pseudomonadota; Gammaproteobacteria.